Molecule: long non-coding RNA, 609 nt
Organism: Eublepharis macularius
Lineage: Eukaryota; Metazoa; Chordata; Lepidosauria; Squamata; Eublepharidae
Exons: 4
Source: RefSeq, a predicted model, not a curated record
UGAAGACUCAGAGGGGGCUUACCACACAGCUGGCUUUUCUGUCCUGCCAAACCCCAUAAACCUGUCAUUAUGAAGCGGAGAGAUCAGAAGAUCAUGUGAAUCUCCUCCAACCCUUGCAUUGCCCUCCAAAAGAGGAGGAACCCUGACUCAGUGGAAGGGAUAUGCUUUGCACCUAGAAAGUCAGCUGUUCAGUCUUGAUGUCUCUCAUUAGGAAGGAUAUAAGGCACCCUGUGAAGUGGGUGGAACUGAGAGAGCUCUGAGAGAGCCGUGACUGCCCCAAGGUCACCCAGCUGGCUUCAAGUGGAGAAGUGGGGAAUCAAACCCGGCUGUCCAGAUUAGAGUCCUGCUGUUCUUAACCACUACACCAAACUGGCUCUCAGACGAUGCACAUCUUUUGGAUGCUAUGGGACCUAAAACAUCUUACAACAUGGUUCUCUCCUCCAUUUGAUCCUCACAACCACCACCCUGCGAGGUAAGUUAGGCUGAGAGUGAGACAGUGACUGGCUUAUGGUCACCAAGCUUCCCUGGAAGAAAGGAGAGCUGAACGUGGGUCCUCCAGAUCUGAAUCCAACCUUUGACACUACGGCAUGCUGCUCUCGAAAUUUCUGU